Molecule: ribosomal RNA, 497 nt
Filed under: uncultured bacterium
Lineage: Bacteria
Description: partial 16S ribosomal RNA
Rfam family: Bacterial small subunit ribosomal RNA
Source: RNAcentral
GAUGAACGCUGGCGGCGUGCCUAAUACAUGCAAGUCGAGCGAACAGACGAGGAGCUUGCUCCUCUGACGUUAGCGGCGGACGGGUGAGUAACACGUGGAUAACCUACCUAUAAGACUGGGAUAACUUCGGGAAACCGGAGCUAAUACCGGAUAAUAUAUUGAACCGCAUGGUUCAAUAGUGAAAGACGGUUUUGCUGUCACUUAUAGAUGGAUCCGCGCCGCAUUAGCUAGUUGGUAAGGUAACGGCUUACCAAGGCAACGAUGCGUAGCCGACCUGAGAGGGUGAUCGGCCACACGGGAACUGAGACACGGUCCAGACUACUACGGGAGGCAGAAGUAGGGAAUCUUCCGCAAUGGGCGAAAGCCUGACGGAGCAACGCCGCGUGAGUGAUGAAGGUCUUCGGAUCGGAAAACUCUGUUGUUAGGGAAGAACAAAUGUGUAAGUAACUAUGCACGUCUUGACGGUACCUAAUCAGAAAGCCACGGCUAACUACGUG